This 253-nucleotide ribosomal RNA is filed under the name uncultured bacterium. Its description in RNAcentral is "partial 16S ribosomal RNA". It matches the Rfam family "Bacterial small subunit ribosomal RNA", at positions 524 to 776 of the family's 1533-position model. The record is from RNAcentral.
UACGAAGGGGGCGAGCGUUGUUCGGAUUUACUGGGCGUAAAGGGCGCGCAGGCGGUGAUUUUUGUCAGGCGUGAAAGCCCCGGGCUCAACCUGGGAACUGCGCUUGAAACGGGAUUGCUAGAGAUCGGGAGAGGAGAGUGGAAUUCCCAGUGUAGAGGUGAAAUUCGUAGAUAUUGGGAAGAACACCGGUGGCGAAGGCGGCUCUCUGGACCGAUACUGACGCUGAGGCGCGAAAGCGUGGGGAGCAAACAGG